This 492-nucleotide ribosomal RNA is filed under the name uncultured bacterium. Its description in RNAcentral is "partial 16S ribosomal RNA". It matches the Rfam family "Bacterial small subunit ribosomal RNA", at positions 29 to 507 of the family's 1533-position model. The record is from RNAcentral.
AGUGAACGCUGGCGGCAGGCCUAACACAUGCAAGUCGAACGGCAGCACAGUAAGAGCUUGCUCUUACGGGUGGCGAGUGGCGGACGGGUGAGGAAUACAUCGGAAUCUACUUUUUCGUGGGGGAUAACGUAGGGAAACUUACGCUAAUACCGCAUACGACCUACGGGUGAAAGCAGGGGAUCUUCGGACCUUGCGCGAUUGAAUGAGCCGAUGUCGGAUUAGCUAGUUGGCGGGGUAAAGGCCCACCAAGGCGACGAUCCGUAGCUGGUCUGAGAGGAUGAUCAGCCACACUGGAACUGAGACACGGUCCAGACUCCUACGGGAGGCAGCAGUGGGGAAUAUUGGACAAUGGGCGCAAGCCUGAUCCAGCCAUACCGCGUGGGUGAGGAAGGCCUUCGGGUUGUAAAGCCCUUUUGUUGGGAAAGAAAAGCAGCAGGUUAAUACCCCGCUGUUCUGACGGUACCCAAAGAAUAAGCACCGGCUAACUUCGUG